This 484-nucleotide ribosomal RNA is filed under the name uncultured bacterium. Its description in RNAcentral is "partial 16S ribosomal RNA". It matches the Rfam family "Bacterial small subunit ribosomal RNA", at positions 30 to 507 of the family's 1533-position model. The record is from RNAcentral.
AUUGAACGCUGGCGGCAGGCCUAACACAUGCAAGUCGAGCGGAUGAAGGGAGCUUGCUCCUGGAUUCAGCGGCGGACGGGUGAGUAAUGCCUAGGAAUCUGCCUGGUAGUGGGGGAUAACGUCCGGAAACGGGCGCUAAUACCGCAUACGUCCUGAGGGAGAAAGUGGGGGAUCUUCGGACCUCACGCUAUCAGAUGAGCCUAGGUCGGAUUAGCGAGUUGGUGGGGUAAAGGCCUACCAAGGCGACGAUCCGUAACUGGUCUGAGAGGAUGAUCAGUCACACUGGAACUGAGACACGGUCCAGACUCCUACGGGAGGCAGCAGUGGGGAAUAUUGGACAAUGGGCGAAAGCCUGAUCCAGCCAUGCCGCGUGUGUGAAGAGGGUCUUCGGAUUGUAAAGCACUUUAAGUUGGGAGGAAGGGCAGUAAGUUAAUACCUUGCUGUUUUGACGUUACCAACAGAAUAAGCACCGGCUAACUUCGUG